CUGUGCAAAGGUAGCAUAAUCAUUAGCUUUUUAAUUGAAGGCUUGUAUGAAGGGUCUGACAAAGAAAAAGCUGUCUUUAAAAUUAUUUUUGAAUUUAACUUUUAAGUGAAAAGGCUUAAAUAAAUUUAAGGGACGAUAAGACCCUAUAAAUCUUUAUAUUAAAUUAUUAUUCUGAAUUUUAAUAUUUGUUUAGAUUAUUAGUUAUAAUAAUAAAUAUUUUGUUGGGGUGACGAGAAUAUAAAAUUAACUGUUCUUAAAAAAAAACAAAGUUAUUUGUUGAAAAAUUUAUAGAUCCUUUUUAAAGAUUAAAAGUUUAAGUUACUUUAGGGAUAACAGCGUUAUUUUUUUUGAGAGUUCUUAUCGAAAAAAAAGUUUGCGACCUCGAUGUUGAAUUAAAAUUUCUCUACGGUGUAGAAGUUGUGGAAGAGAGUCUGUUCGACUUUUGAAAUUUU
Molecule: ribosomal RNA, 452 nt
Filed under: Paramunida stichas
Lineage: Eukaryota; Metazoa; Arthropoda; Malacostraca; Decapoda; Munididae
Description: partial 16S ribosomal RNA
Rfam family: Bacterial large subunit ribosomal RNA
Source: RNAcentral